CACUGGAUUUAGGAAUUCAAUGUGGUUUAAACUGAGGUUCUUCAUUUAACGUGUCUAAUGUUACUACGCAGGCAAAGAAAGAUGUGGCAUGGGGAAAACUGACCUAUGUAGUUUUAGACGCAGGCAAAGAAAGAUGUGGCAUGAGGCCAGAGGUGGCCGGAUCUGGCAAAGGUAAGCCCCUCCCCUCCUUCUUCGUGCACCAUCUCCUCCUCACCUCACCUUGUCUCGUGUUCCUUUUUGACAGGUCCUCCCCUCCUCACCAUCUCCGUUGCCGGGCCAAGGUUCCGCCGAUCCCCCAAGGUGCAGCUCCCGGCCAUGGGGAAGCGCCAGCAGCCGGAGGCGCCGAGCAGCCCAUGGCGCCGGUG
RNAcentral lists this long non-coding RNA (365 nucleotides) under Triticum aestivum (bread wheat). Its description in RNAcentral is "long non-coding RNA (TAES_LNC012887)". Lineage: Eukaryota; Viridiplantae; Streptophyta; Magnoliopsida; Poales; Poaceae. The record is from RNAcentral.